GCGCGGGGGGUGGGGGGCCCCCCCCCCCGCCGGCAUCCCGGCCGUCGGUGAAAUACCACUACUCUGAUUGUUUUUUCACUUACCCGGUGAGGCGGAGGGGUGAGCCCCGAGGGGGGGGGGUCCCGCUUGUGGCACCAAGCACCUGGCGCGCGCCAGGCGCGUCCCACUCCGGAGACAGCGGCAGGUGGGGAGUUUGAUUGGGGCGGUACACCUGGCAAAGCUAACGCAGGUGUCCUAAGGUGAGCU
RNAcentral lists this non-coding RNA (246 nucleotides) under Phoenicopterus ruber ruber. RNAcentral describes it as "Eukaryotic large subunit ribosomal RNA". It matches the Rfam family "Eukaryotic large subunit ribosomal RNA", at positions 2458 to 2674 of the family's 3401-position model. Lineage: Eukaryota; Metazoa; Chordata; Aves; Phoenicopteriformes; Phoenicopteridae. The record is from Rfam by way of RNAcentral.